UCGAGCGACGCAUACCGGAGGGUAACCCACCGGUAUGACGGAGCGGCGAACGGGUGAGUAACACGUGAGUAACCUGCCCCACAGACCGGGAUAGCCCAAGGAAACCUGGAUUAAUACCGGAUAUUCUCUUCGAACCUCAUGGCUCGGGGAGGAAAUGCCUUUGUGCUGUGGGAUGGACUCGCGGCUUAUCAGCUAGUUGGUGGGGUAACGGCCUACCAAGGCAUCGACGAGUAGCUGGUCUGAGAGGACGAUCAGCCACACUGGGACUGAGACACGGCCCAGACUCCUACAGGAGGCAGCAGCAGGGAAUCUUGCGCAAUGGGCGAAAGCCUGACGCAGCAACGCCGCGUGUGGGAUGAAGGCCUUCGGGUUGUAAACCACUUUCAGGAGGGAAGAUAUUGACGGUACCUCCAAAAGAAGCCCCGGCCAACUACGUGCCAGCAGCCGCGGUAAUACGUAGGGGGCGAGCGUUAUCCGGAAUCAUUGGGCGUAAAGAGCUCGUAGGCGGUUCAGCAAGUCGGCUGUGAAAGUCCAAGGCUCAACCUUGGAAAUGCAGUCGAAACUGCUGUGACUAGAGUCUGGUAGAGGAGAAUGGAAUUCCCGGUGUAGCGGUGGAAUGCGCAGAUAUCGGGAGGAACACCAGUAGCGAAGGCGGUUCUCUGGGCCUCGACUGACGCUGAGGAGCGAAAGCGUGGGUAGCAAACAGGAUUAGAUACCCUGGUAGUCCAUGCCGUAAACGUUGGAUACUAGGUGUGGCGUCCCGAUCAACGGAUGCCAUGCCGAAGCUAACGCAUUAAGUAUCCCGCCUGGGGAGUACGGCCGCAAGGCUAAAACUCAAAGGAAUUGACGGGUCCCCGCACAAGCGGCGGAGCAUGCGGCUUAAUUCGAUGCAACCCGAAGAACCUUACCUGGGUUUGACAUCACGGGAAAAGCUGUGGAAACACAGUGUCCGUAAGGGCCCGUGACAGGUGGUGCAUGGCUGUCGUCAGCUCGUGUCGUGAGAUGUUGGGUUAAGUCCCGCAACGAGCGCAACCCUUGUCCUAUGUUGCCAGCACGUAAUGGUGGGGA
RNAcentral lists this ribosomal RNA (1068 nucleotides) under uncultured bacterium. RNAcentral's name for it is "bacterial SSU rRNA". It matches the Rfam family "Bacterial small subunit ribosomal RNA", at positions 62 to 1137 of the family's 1533-position model. The record is from RNAcentral.